GACGAACGCUGGCGGCAUGCCUAACGCACGCAAGUCGAGCGAGUAGAUCCCUUCGGGGUGAAGCUAGCGGCGGACGGGUGAGUAACACGUGGGCAACCUGCCUCAUAGAGGGGAAUAGCCUUCCGAAAGGAAGAUUAAUACCGCAUAAGAUUGUAGCUUCGCAUGACGCAGCAAUUAAAGGAGCAAUCCGCUAUGAGAUGGGCCCGCGGCGCAUUAGCUAGUGGGUGAGGUAACGGCUCACCAAGGCGACGAUGCGUAGCCGACCUGAGAGGGUGAUCGGCCACAUUGGGACUGAGACACGGCCCAGACUCCUACGGGAGGCAGCAGUGGGGAAUAUUGCACAAUGGGGGAAACCCUGAUGCAGCAAUGCCGCGUGAGUGAUGACGGCCUUCGGGUUGUAAAGCUCUGUCUUCGGGGACGAUAAUGACGGUACCCGAGGAGGAAGCCACGGCUAACUACGUGCCAGCAGCCGCCGUAA
Molecule: ribosomal RNA, 478 nt
Filed under: uncultured bacterium
Lineage: Bacteria
Description: partial 16S ribosomal RNA
Rfam family: Bacterial small subunit ribosomal RNA
Source: RNAcentral